Molecule: ribosomal RNA, 1187 nt
Filed under: metagenome
Description: bacterial SSU rRNA
Rfam family: Eukaryotic small subunit ribosomal RNA
Source: RNAcentral
AUUAAAGUUGUUGCAGUUAAAAAGCUCGUAGUUGGACUUGUGUGCGCUGUCCGCGGGUGGCCUGCGCCCAAAAGGGCGUUUCGGUUCGGCCCCGGCGGCGCCUUGAAAUCUGCAGCUGGGGGGACGUUGGCCUUAACUGGUCGGCGACCGCACGCCGGCUGCUCGGUUACUGUGAGAAAAUUAGAGUGUUCAAGGCAGGCAUUGGGUGCAAUUGAAUACAUUAGCAUGGAAUAAUAAAAUAUGGCUCCUGCCGUAUUUUGUUGGUUUUGACUGGUGGGAGUAAUGAUUGAUAGGGACGGUUGGGGGUGCUAGUAUUGAGCGGCCGGAGGUGAAAUUCAUGGAUUCGCUCAAGACUAACUUAUGCGAAAGCAUUCACCAAGGACGUCCUCUUUAAUCAAGAACGAAAGUUGGGGGAUCGAAGACGAUCAGAUACCGUCGUAGUCUCAACCAUAAACUAUGUCGACUUGGGAUCGGCGGUAGUUUUUUCAUUAAGACACUGUCGGGACCACGGGAGAAAUCAAAGUGUCUGGACUCUGGGGGAAGUAUGGUCGCAAGGCUGAAACUUGAAGGAAUUGACGGAAGGGCACCACCAGGAGUGGAGCCUGCGGCUUAAUUUGACCCAACACGGGGAAACUUACCAGGUCCAGAGAUAUAGAGGAUUGACAUAUUGAAGCUCUUUCUUGAUCACUUCGGUGGUGGUGCAUGGCCGUUCUUAGUUGGUGGAGUGAUUUGUCUGGUUAAUUCCGUUAACGAACGAGACCUCAGCCUGCUAGUGUAGUCGGCUGGAUUGCCUUUGGCGAUCCGUGAUUCCGACUUCUUAGAGGGACAAUCGACGCGCAGUCGAUGGAAGUUUGAGGCAAUAACAGGUCUGUGAUGCCCUUAGAUGUUCUGGGCCGCACGCGCGCUACACUGCUGGGCUCAGCGAGUUUUACUUGGCCGAGAGGCCCGGUUAAUCUUGUGAAAUCCCAGCGUGCUUGGGCUCGCCUCCUGCAACUGGAGGCGCCAACGAGGAAUUCCUAGUAGACGCAGGUCAUCAACCUGCAUCGAUUACGUCCCUGCCCUUUGUACACACCGCCCGUCGUUCCAUAAGAGUGAGGCAUCCGGUGAAUUCUCGGGAGAGCCUGGGCGUGGCCAGCAAUGGUCUGCUCGGGUUUGAACUUGCAUAAACUUGGUGCCUAUGAUUAGGG